Sapajus apella (tufted capuchin) is the source of this 166-nucleotide long non-coding RNA. RefSeq lists it as uncharacterized. The record is from RefSeq and is a predicted model, not a curated record. Lineage: Eukaryota; Metazoa; Chordata; Mammalia; Primates; Cebidae. The transcript is spliced from 2 exons.
AAAAUACAAAAUUAGCCAGGCAUGGUGGCACAUGCCUGUAAUCCCAGCUACUCGGGAGACUGAGGCAGGAGAAUUGCUUGAACCCUGGAGGUGGAGGUUGCGGUGAGCCGAGAUCGCGCCAUUGCACUCCAGCCUGGGUAACAAGAGUGAAACUCCGUCUCAAAAA